This 284-nucleotide ribosomal RNA is filed under the name uncultured bacterium. RNAcentral describes it as "partial 16S ribosomal RNA". It matches the Rfam family "Bacterial small subunit ribosomal RNA", at positions 773 to 1060 of the family's 1533-position model. The record is from RNAcentral.
GUGGUUUAGAUACCCUGGUAGUCCACGCCGUAAACGAUGAUCACUCGCUGUUGGCGAUACACAGUCAGCGGCUAAGCAAAAGCAUUAAGUGAUCCACCUGGGGAGUACGGCCGCAAGGCUGAAACUCAAAGGAAUUGACGGGGGCCCGCACAAGCGGAGGAACAUGUGGUUUAAUUCGAUGAUACGCGAGGAACCUUACCUGGGCUUAAAUGUAGAGUGCAUGAGAUGGAAACAUUUCUUUUCUUCGGAACUCUCUGCAAAGUGCUGCACGGUCGUCGUCAACU